This 537-nucleotide unclassified non-coding RNA is filed under the name Hevea brasiliensis (rubber tree). Lineage: Eukaryota; Viridiplantae; Streptophyta; Magnoliopsida; Malpighiales; Euphorbiaceae. The record is from RNAcentral.
AAUAGUGUAUCUCUGCACCAGAAAAAUAUGGAAUCUCAAUCUAGUACUUCUGUCCCAAGCCAGAACUCAAAUUGGACAGUAAAGCAGCACAAAUUGUUCGAAGAUGCUCUUGCAAUAUAUGAUAAGGACACCCCUGAUCGCUGGUGUAAUAUUGCCAAGAUUGUUGGAGGAACAACUGAGGAGGAAGUGAAGAUACAGUAUGAGAUCCUUGUAAGUGAUAUCAACAACAUUGAAUCAGAUAAAGUCCCACUUCCUAAUUACAAGAAUGAAGGGAGAAUCAAUGAAGAAAGCUUGACAAGAAACAAUGAGGAGGAAAGGCUGCAGCAGAGCUAAGGAUCUAAUUUGGAUUUGUGUUCUAUAUGAAGCUCUGAUGAAAAAUGAACAAAAGCAGAAGAGAGAGUCAUCUUUAUUUUUCUUGAAAAUUAGAUUUAUCACAUGUCAGCUUCCUAACUUUUCUUUUUUCUUUUGAAUCUCGUAAGUUCUCAUCCUAUAUUCCUAUGCAUGCAUCAAGGAAGAUAAAUCAAAGCUUCUCUGUUG